CUUUUAUGUGUGCUGGUGACUCACCCAGAGCAGAGGCACAGUGAAGGUCACACCAGAGACAAAGUUUGAAAUGUAGGCUAAGUCAUACAAAAAGAACUGCAAAAUCCAAAGACCACAGGACUUUUUCCACUGAGAGGAUAAUGAAUGUGCAGAAGUACACCUAAAGAAUGGUGCAGAACCAAGCAGUGUGGUAUAAUUGAAUAUACAUGGGUACUAGCCUGCAAGAAUAGAAGUGAGCACAAAUUCUCCCCUCCCGACAGAAGAAGCCCACAGAAUGAGAGAGAGAUAGAUCUGAUAAAAUUCCAGCCCUACUGAAAUGGAUGGAAAUUUUGCCACUGACUGUUCAACAAAGGACUCUUCCCUGCAGACCUAUUAGGAAUUUUUAAUUGGAUAUAAUGUAUGCUGAGAAAGAUGAUAAUACAAUGGGGAAAAUUUGGUGCUCAGAUAAAUGAGCCACUGAUACUGCAUCUGUUAAAAUGUGUUUCACCAAGGGGCCACUUCUCCAGUAAGGACAGAGAAACGUGCAAAGGAAAGGAGCAAAAAGAGCCCAUUUCCUGCCCAUUUGGCUGUGUUUUACGCCAAGAAGGUCAUAGCGCUGCAUGAGUGCUUGUGGCUCUUCUUCAAAGGCUCUGCUUCAAUUCAGACAAUCAAAGCUGAUGAGGAGUCACCCUAAAGUGCACUUCUGUUUUCUAACAUAGCCUCUCUGGAAAAUAUGAUGUUACAAUAUUGGCCAGUCAGUUGGUCUGUCAUUUUUGGUUGGCCUCUUCUGUUGUAACACGAUGACACUGGGUUUUUUUCUUUGUUUUUCAUCAGCUGUCGAGAGAUACAAAUGCUGACUUCCUCCUAAACCUUUGGACCCCACUGGAAUUUCCCAGUGCUGGGUCUACUUACUCCACAUUUGAAGCUUCCUUCCUGGCAGUUUUCAGCACCCUCUGUAGAGUUGCACCUCUGGGUUAUUGGUAUGCAUUUCUCUUGCAGCCUUCACUGGAUAUCUGACUUCCUCACAAACAUAAACAGUCAUUUCACAGUAACCCUGUUAGAAAAGCAAGAAUUAUCACUUUUACUUAGAUUACAAAUGCAGGGGCUUUCACAGUGACCACAAACAUGCAGCUGUUGAAGACAGAUUGACUUUCCUGUAGGGAACACACUGUGUUCUUGUUCAGAGGAGAUGAAUCUUUCCUGAGCGGGUGGAAGUUCCUCCACUGACAUGGGGUGCAGCAGAAGCUACUGGGGUCCAUCCCUGAAGAAGUGCAUUCAACUAAUUCAGGUGACUGCUGAAAAAGGAUAUUCCCUUGUUUUGGCUGCCUUCCUUUGUGAGAUGCAGAACUGAAAGAACACCAUCAAAGUUUAAAGUACAGAUUUGCCUCACUGAUGUGCCCUGAAGAAUGUACCCUGUAAGAUGGGACAAGCAGAAGAAAUGCAGAAACAGGAGAAAGCUGUACUGGUUUCUCUUGACAUAAUGCUGCUGCACUGAUGAUGUAUUUCUGUUGGUUGCCAGUGUGUGGAGGUUGAAGGAUGUUUUUGCAUCUUAGGUAGUUAAACUCUCCUUUCUAUGCUAUCAUUUUUUCCCUUCACUACUCUACAACAUAAUAAAUCCCAUUGAUUACUAAAUGUUUAAAAGGAUUUCAUCAAGGAGUGGCUCCGUUCUCUAAACGCCUUUAUUUAUUCAAGUCUAAUUCAUAUGCUA
Molecule: long non-coding RNA, 1687 nt
Organism: Lagopus muta (rock ptarmigan)
Lineage: Eukaryota; Metazoa; Chordata; Aves; Galliformes; Phasianidae
Exons: 3
Source: RefSeq, a predicted model, not a curated record